Molecule: signal recognition particle RNA, 299 nt
Filed under: Aotus nancymaae (Ma's night monkey)
Lineage: Eukaryota; Metazoa; Chordata; Mammalia; Primates; Aotidae
Description: Metazoan signal recognition particle RNA (ENSANAG00000007449.1)
Rfam family: Metazoan signal recognition particle RNA
About the family: The signal recognition particle (SRP) is a universally conserved ribonucleoprotein. It is involved in the co-translational targeting of proteins to membranes.
Source: RNAcentral
ACCAGGCAUGGUAGUGAGUGCUUGUAGUCCCAGCUACCCGGGAGGCUGAGGUGGGAGGAUCACUUGAGUCCAGGAGUUCUGGGCUGUAGUGUGCUAUGCCGAUCAGGUGUCUGCACUAAGUUCAGCAUCAAUAUGGUGACCUUCCAGGAGCAGGGGACCACCAGGUUGCCUAAGGAGGGGUGAACCGGCCCAGGUCAGAAAUGGAGCAGGUCAAAACUCCCGUGCUGAUCAGUAGUGGGAUUGCUCCUGUGAAUAUCCACUGCACACCAGCCUGGGCAACACAGCAAGACCCCAUCUCU